This 253-nucleotide ribosomal RNA is filed under the name uncultured bacterium. RNAcentral's name for it is "partial 16S ribosomal RNA". It matches the Rfam family "Bacterial small subunit ribosomal RNA", at positions 524 to 776 of the family's 1533-position model. The record is from RNAcentral.
UACGGAGGGUGCGAGCGUUAUCCGGAAUUACUGGGUUUAAAGGGUGCGUAGGCGGCUUUGUAAGUCAGGAGUGAAAGUUUGCGGCUCAACCGUAAAAUUGCUUCUGAUACUGCAUAGCUAGAAUCAGGAUGAGGUCAGCGGAAUGUGGCAUGUAGCGGUGAAAUGCAUAGAUAUGCCAUAGAACACCAAUUGCGAAGGCAGCUGGCUAGACCUGUAUUGACGCUGAGGCACGAAAGCGUGGGGAGCGAACAGG